GACGAACGCUGGCGGCGUGCCUAAUACAUGCAAGUUGAGCGAUGAAGAUUGGUGCUUGCCCCAAUUUGAAGAGCAGCGAACGGGUGAGUAACGCGUGGGGAAUCUGCCUUUGAGCGGGGGACAACAUUUGGAAACGAAUGCUAAUACCGCAUAACAACUUUAAACAUAAGUUUUAAGUUUGAAAGAUGCAAUUGCAUCACUCAAAGAUGAUCCCGCGUUGUAUUAGCUAGUUGGUGAGGUAAAGGCUCACCAAGGCGAUGAUACAUAGCCGACCUGAGAGGGUGAUCGGCCACAUUGGGACUGAGACACGGCCCAAACGCCUACGGGAGGCAGCAGUAGGGAAUCUUCGGCAAUGGACGAAAGUCUGACCGAGCAACGCCGCGUGAGUGAAGAAGGUUGUCGGAUCGUAAAACUCUGUUGGUAGAGAAGAACGUUGGUGAGAGUGGAAAGCUCAUCAAGUGACGGUAACUACCCAGAAAGGGACGGCUAACUACGUG
RNAcentral lists this ribosomal RNA (497 nucleotides) under uncultured bacterium. Its description in RNAcentral is "partial 16S ribosomal RNA". It matches the Rfam family "Bacterial small subunit ribosomal RNA", at positions 28 to 507 of the family's 1533-position model. The record is from RNAcentral.